ACGAACGCUGGCGGCAUGCCUAACACAUGCAAGUCGAACGAGACCUUCGGGUCUAGUGGCGCACGGGUGCGUAACGCGUGGGAACCUGCCCUUAGGUUCGGAAUAACUCCCCGAAAGGGGUGCUAAUACCGGAUAAUGUCUUCGGACCAAAGAUUUAUCGCCUUUGGAUGGGCCCGCGUUGGAUUAGCUAGUUGGUAGGGUAAAAGCCUACCAAGGCGACGAUCCAUAGCUGGUCUGAGAGGAUGAUCAGCCACACUGGGACUGAGACACGGCCCAGACUCCUACGGGAGGCAGCAGUGGGGAAUAUUGGACAAUGGGCGAAAGCCUGAUCCAGCAAUGCCGCGUGAGUGAUGAAGGCCUUAGGGUUGUAAAGCUCUUUUACCCGGGAUGAUAAUGACAGUACCGGGAGAAUAAGCUCCGGCUAACUCCGUA
Molecule: ribosomal RNA, 432 nt
Filed under: uncultured bacterium
Lineage: Bacteria
Description: partial 16S ribosomal RNA
Rfam family: Bacterial small subunit ribosomal RNA
Source: RNAcentral